Phasianus colchicus (ring-necked pheasant) is the source of this 4290-nucleotide long non-coding RNA. RefSeq lists it as uncharacterized. NCBI's taxonomy places the organism in Eukaryota, Metazoa, Chordata, Aves, Galliformes, Phasianidae. The record is from RefSeq and is a predicted model, not a curated record.
GGAAUAGGAACAUGACCAUUAGAUAGAAAGGUAUAGUUGUUGAAGCCUUCCAGCAGCAGAUCAUCUAAAAGACAAAGAAGAAAAGUGAGUAUUUGGGUAGCAUAAAAAGGGCUGGAAAUGAUUAGGACCUGGAGUUACAUCAAUGAAAACAGCAAAGACAGGCGAGAACUUCAGCCACACCAGUAUCUCAGAGAACUGCAUCAACAUAAAUUAAUAUUACAGUUCAGAGCAAAAUGAUGAACUUUAAUCACCAAGAUUUAGAAAUGUCUUUUUUAUCAAAACGUAUCCUUCUGCCUGGAAGGUAUCCUCAAGAUUGAGAAAAAACAAGAUACAUUUUUUACAACAGCAUAUCAACAAGAACGCACUUGGCAGCUUUAUGAAGUCCUGAAGUAAUAAGCCCUAUGUUGCUAAGUUGUGCAGUCUGACCUGCAAAACCUCCCACUGACAUGCUGGCCUCUGCACGUUCAUGGAGGGAGAAUAUGCAACAUUGCUCCAUUUCCUUCAAAAGUUUCAACAUAUUGCAAAGAGACAAUAGCAGAAGGCAGCAGAAUUACCCAUCCUCGCUGGACUACUCUCACUGGCAUCUGGCAGUGCUGCAGAAGCCAUCCACCCAUCCACCCACCUCUGGCUCCUCUGCCCUGGACCAUGGUGCCCCCUCUUGUGCUGCAUCAUGCCUUCAUGCAGCGACACUGCACACCAGGCUGCAGUAACACACUAUUAAAUGAACCUAGCAAAAAGCUGAAUCGUUUCUGCAUGAAGACUGGUGCUGGGAGUAUUGGGAUGAGGAGGCUGAGCCCUUUGCAUAGCCAGAGUGCAGUGCUAUUGCAACUGCAAUGAGAAGCUACUGCAUCCAUAACACAGGGUAUAGAGGUCAGUAAAGAAACAUAAGGGGUCUUUUUUAGGAUCGUUGUCUCUGGCAUCCAAGUAUUCAAUUUCUGUUAACAGUAGCUGUGUUGUUACAAGAACAACUUUGAUGGGACUUGAACAUCAUCUCUAAUGAAUACAUUAACCAAGUAAGUUGUGAAAACAGAGGAGGAGCCUUUUUGCUGGAUGUUUGUGCCAACAGAGGGUUUGAAUGUGAAGGGUUCUGAUCUCCAGCUGAUGAACCUGCAGUAGGACCAGCUAUUGGCUGACACCAUUACUUGACUGGUUGAGAGCUAGAGGUAGCCCAGGACAUUUGAACAAGCUGACUGCUUUUGGCCAGGCAGUCCUGAUCUCAAAGUACUAUAAUGUAAUUCUUCAGUCUCAUGAACCUAAGAUAUAUGUUAGUUUGGCAAGAAGAAACUAAGCAAGUUUCUCAGAUAAGGAGUAAUAUUGAUGUUUCUCAAGUAAAACAUCCAGUGCCCUGAUCCAUGUUUAUGAACAUGAAUCUCUCUCUUUAUACUCCCUUUACAUAUGUGCUUACAAAGUCCCAUGCACUCUGUCCAUUUGUAUUGCAUACACACACACUCUAUUAUGUUGAUGCCCACUCUCACCACCUCAGCAUGAAUACAAUUUGGCUACAUAACUAGUUACAUUAAGCUUUGGUUUAGUUUUAUGAACAAAACACAAGUCUGUUUUUCCAAACAAAAGCUCAGCUUUAAAGGCAGCUGGGGCCCUCUUCAGAGAUGGAGAGACUCCAAAACUGCAUGUGCAAGUAAAUAAGCAAGUAAAGCGUGGGCGUCCUGGGCUUGUGAUGCAAGUUCUUGUGGGAAGGGUUUGACUGCUAUGCCAGCUGUGUGUGGUUAGGAAGAGGUAGUGGAAGUGCCUCUCUUAAAGUUCAACUUAUGGUCUGUUCCCUCCUCCUUUCUUUCCCCUUCCUUCCUAUUUGUUCUCCCCUUCCUCUUUUCUAUCAGGAAGGUUUCCUUCCAGAAAAGACACAUGAAUCAUAAGGUAUGAAGAUCCAUCAAGAUUUGGUGGGGUCAGAACAUUAUUCCAAGCACCAAAAAAGUGAAUAGAAAGAAGGGAAAGCAUCCACUUGUGCUGCCUUCUCCUCCCAACCUGGGAGGCACAGCUAAAUCCUGGAUGUUCUAGAAGUAGUUAAUGACUGAAGUGAAGGGUCAUCAAGCUCAAGUGGCUUCAAAAGACCACCAGGAACAACAGGAGAGAGGAAGAGUGAAAGAGGUCCUUAUGAUGUUGGGAUCAGGCAGAGUAGUAGUUUCAUCUUAAGAAGGAAAAUCAUAUAUACUGCUACACUGAAACACUCCUUAUUUUUCAGUAGUAGAUGCAGUAUUACAUUCCUUUUUUUUCCCUGUUGGUAUCUUGCAGCACUUUCUUAGUUGACUUUUCCUUCAUCCCACUUUUAGGGACAAAUAGAGUUUUGUGCUGAAUGAGAAGGGUACUGCUGAACUUCUUGCAUAGCUCCCCAGUGAGGCUCACUGCUGAAAGGCUUUGGGGAAAGAAGGCUGCUUUGACAGCAGAGCCUGCUCAGAACCCUGAGAAGUGCUGCAUGCAGAGCACAGAGAUCAACACCUGAUCUGCAAGGCAGAUAGAUGGCUGAAGCUUACAAGGAUCUGCUUCUACCAAGUAAGUUUCUUUCACCUGUGGCUCCAUUAAAUGAGAUUCAAUGCAUCAUGUUGUUCUAAAAGCUUAAACCUGUCCUCUCAGCCCUAAAUAUUUUUUAUAUACCUGUCCUUGUUGUUAAAGUAAGGAGGAAUGUCUGAUUUCAGUAUGUCUGUUAUUGGUGCUUUAUUGAUCCUCCUUUGCUGCACUGUAAUUCUGCCUCCUGUGGGUGAUAGAGUUGAUACAGCUCCAGAAAAGAAAUGUUCCAUAAGUGACAGGAAGAAAAAAUGUUGAUGUUUUAAGGCAAAGUUUAUAGUUCAUUAUAUUUCAAGUAUGUGCAUGUCUGAAAAUGUAAGAUCCUAAGGUUAGAAACCAAAGUUACAAUUAGCUGAUCAACUCACAUAAGUAAAUGAUCUUCAGGUGGUUUUUGUUAUCUGGGUUAUUUUGUUAACACUGCAGUUAGUACAGAAACUACUCAAGACAUCUCUGGGGAGAAAAAACCUGCUUUGAUGCUUUUGAUAUCUGUCACCAUUGGUGCGUGUAUCCUUAUGAAGUGUUUGUUCCAAAAUAAUAGAGAUUUGGUUGAUAUUUAAAGACAGCAGAAGUCUGAAAGAUGGUCAAAUUAGACAGCACAGAGGCUUAUCAUAUACUUUGUCUACUUUCUCUACUCUGAGCCUUGAAUUAUAACAACAUGAACCAUCUGCAAUGUUCUGAACAGACUGAUCUUAAGAUCUAGUCAACUUACUUCUUUCAGAUUUCAACCACAGGAGUGCUGCAAUCAUUGUGAUCACAAUGUGUGCCAGGGUCAUGGUUAGAUAAAGUGCAAAAUGGUUUUGAAUGGAUUAGUAUCUCCAUAGCAAUUGCUGUUCUCUGUUUGUAUGUAAACGUUGCUAAGAAGUCAAUGCUGGGUAUUUAUCUAGCAGCUAAACUGACAUUUCUAGAUGCUGUUAAUCAUUUUUCCCCUGUCAGACCAAAAAUCCGUAAGCACUAAACCCUUAGAUCCUUAAACCUGAAACAAGGCAGCCCUGAGCUUCAGGGCUGGGUUUGCAAAUCUUGUUGAACCACAGUUGUAGGGCAGAACUUCUGCAGGAACAGACCUCAAAUGGAGAUUUACAUUUCAAAGUGUUCUGCAGCCUCCUGGUUCCCCCCGAGCACCCGAGGCUGCUGUGAGAUGGCAGCCAGUCACGUCCCUGCAUUCUGUAGAUAUUGCAGCCUUGUGUGGUCAUUGCUAUAGCAUUUUUAUCUCUAAAUGAAUGAUCUUUCCUUAGGACAAAAUCCUCUUAGCCUGUCAGGAUUCAAUGCAGAAAUUCCCUAUGUGUUUUUAAGGUCUCAUUGUAUGCUUUGAGGUCUGACUCCUUUCCCACUGCUGUUCCAUUAGAAAACAGAGCACAUCUCAACUCAAGACUCCAAAGCAUUAGACUGUACUAACAGUAGUCCCAUAGUGUUAUUUCAAUCUGCUUACUAGGAGAGAGCGAGGAGCAAUGCUGACAGAUACAACAGCCUUAGCAGCUAACUUUGGAAUAGUCUCCACUGGUGCAAAGGGAGCGUUUUCCAUGCCCGUAUUUGCCAAAACUAUUUGCUCAACUUUGAAACCUUCCCACAUGCCUCGACACAGAUGGGUAAAAGGAUUGUUUUUCCUUUUUGAGUCAGUGUUUGUGGAGUGCCGUCCCUGCCAAAGAAUUCCACCGAAACUUCUUGAAAGUCCAUGUCUCCCUCUGUAUCGGAGCUUUUCUGACUGUGCUUCUUGCAGGAGCACAAGUGCAGCAGUACAUUGUUUUCUCUCAUGUUAAAGUGCAGUGAUUUCUAAGA